UACGUAGGGUGCAAGCGUUGUCCGGAAUUAUUGGGCGUAAAGAGCUCGUAGGCGGUCUGUUGCGUCUGCUGUGAAAACCCGGGGCUUAACCCCUGGCUUGCAGUGGAUACGGACAGACUAGAGGUAGGUAGGGGAGAAUGGAAUUCCCGGUGUAGCGGUGAAAUGCGCAGAUAUCGGGAGGAACACCGGUGGCGAAGGCGGUUCUCUGGGCCUUACCUGACGCUGAGGAGCGAAAGCUAGGGGAGCAAACAGG
Molecule: ribosomal RNA, 253 nt
Filed under: uncultured bacterium
Lineage: Bacteria
Description: partial 16S ribosomal RNA
Rfam family: Bacterial small subunit ribosomal RNA
Source: RNAcentral